Long non-coding RNA from Stegostoma tigrinum, 1610 nucleotides. RefSeq lists it as uncharacterized. The transcript is spliced from 3 exons. Lineage: Eukaryota; Metazoa; Chordata; Chondrichthyes; Orectolobiformes; Stegostomatidae. The record is from RefSeq and is a predicted model, not a curated record.
AGGAAAGAGGUCAUGCAAAAGCAUAUCAAGUUUUCUGUACCACGUAUUGAUUAUCUUAUCUAACACAGAAGUCGACAGAGGGAGCCACAGUGAAAAAUGGAGCCAGCUCCGACGCUUGAAAAGAUUUUUCCUCAGACAGAUUAAAAGUUCUAUUUUUGACAGGAUGAAAGCAAGCUGCCAUUAAGAAAUUAAGCGAACAUAUCAGCUUUACUAUGCAGAGUGGAACGAUCUUCCAUUUACGUCUGACAGAUUUUGACUUGCAAUCCCAGCCGUCAUAAACCUUUGGCGCCAUCAAACAUGCUCAAGAAGAAACGGUUCAGAACUAACGGACAGAAAACGCUUGACAGAGAGGAGAACAAAUCGCUGACAAAGAACGCUUUCCGUUUCGCCAGCGUCGUUAAGACGACAAGGAAGAAUUCCUUAGAUAAUAACUCCCACUUCAAAGACUUCUGCCCUGAAUAGAGAAUGUACCAUCCUUUUUAUUCGGCCACAAGAGUUUUCACUAAAGAGGACUCGACUGUUUGGUUAUUUUUCGCUGUGUUUAUUUUUCUCCAUUCACUGGGUACUUGUAUAAAAUAAACAACAAGACAAUUACUAAAAGAAGGAUUCCUAACUUAUCUGCUCACAGGGUCGGGAUAGAACCUGCUGGGCUCCCUCUCCGAGGAGCCAAGCAGUUUGAUUCAGGCCAUCCCUAAUCCGCCUGAGAAUUCCUCCCAACCUCAAAAUAUUAAAGAUUAUGAUGAAGUGAAGAUUGACUGUACUAACCUAGCAUGAAACCAAAGGUCAACGCAAAUGUAUCUUAAUAGAGUGUCUCGAAUCUAGUGUGCCUCCUUUGAAGGCAGUUUGCUAUUGCCCCGUUCAUUACCAUAGCGAUCCUAGCGUGCGGUGCUGAGGCACCAUAAAAAUCCUACUUUGGAAUUCUAAAACCCGGCUCUUUGAACAGCCCGAGUCUGAUUAGAGUCCUUGUGUCUUUUAUUUUCUUUCUCAUUCUUUGGGGUUUGGUUUGGGGGGUGGGGGGUGUUUGGGAGCAGGGGAGAUCUCUCGACCUUUUAAAAGUUUAUGGAAAGUUUAACUCGCUCCCGGAUUAACUAUAUCAGAGAAGAAACAGGAAAUAAAAACUUAAUUGACAGUCUGAUAACUCAAACCGUCUUUUUUUUCCACCAGGAGCUGGGGGCACUGGUAUUAUUUAUGGUGUUACUGGAGUUUGGCGUAAGUCAUGUUUCGCGUGAGUUCUUUCUUUGGGGCGUCGAGCCUUCAGUAACAAUGAGCUGCACACCGUAAAAUAUAAUAUACGUAUUAUAAAUUUUACAUAAAUACACAGACACACAUAUAUAUGUAUAUAUAUAUGUAUACCAUAUAUACAAACUUGCUUACAUAUGGUCCUUAAGACGUACACAUUCCGUUCUUGAUGAAAAGACUGCACUAGCUCCAGACUUGGCUUUCAGUAUUUAAGUAUGACUUGUCUAUUGCCAUAGAAAUCCUAACUCACCGUGAAGAUUCACCGUUGCGAAGAAAUACUCUUUGUAGAUUUUUCUGCUUUGAUGUCUCCACAAGGAUAUUCAGUCUUUUGAAUUGUGAUUACUUGGAUUACCUAUAGCAACUGGAUGGAC